Molecule: ribosomal RNA, 465 nt
Filed under: Vreelandella stevensii
Lineage: Bacteria; Pseudomonadati; Pseudomonadota; Gammaproteobacteria; Oceanospirillales; Halomonadaceae
Description: partial 16S ribosomal RNA
Rfam family: Bacterial small subunit ribosomal RNA
Source: RNAcentral
CCUACGGGGGGCAUCAGUGGGGAAUAUUGGACAAUGGGGGGAACCCUGAUCCAGCCAUGCCGCGUGUGUGAAGAAGGCCCUCGGGUUGUAAGGCACUUUCAGUGAGGAAGAACGCCUGGUGGUUAAUACCCAUCAGGAAAGACAUCACUCACAGAAGAAGCACCGGCUAACUCCGUGCCAGCAGCCGCGGUAAUACGGAGGGUGCGAGCGUUAAUCGGAAUUACUGGGCGUAAAGCGCGCGUAGGUGGCUUGAUAAGCCGGUUGUGAAAGCCCCGGGCUCAACCUGGGAACGGCAUCCGGAACUGUCAAGCUAGAGUGCAGGAGAGGAAGGUAGAAUUCCCGGUGUAGCGGUGAAAUGCGUAGAGAUCGGGAGGAAUACCAGUGGCGAAGGCGGCCUUCUGGACUGACACUGACACUGAGGUGCGAAAGCGUGGGUAGCAAACAGGAUUAGAUACCCUGGUAGUC